Molecule: long non-coding RNA, 844 nt
Organism: Lycium barbarum (goji berry)
Lineage: Eukaryota; Viridiplantae; Streptophyta; Magnoliopsida; Solanales; Solanaceae
Exons: 3
Source: RefSeq, a predicted model, not a curated record
AGAUCCCCCUCCCCUUUCUCUCUCUUCCACUUUCUAAAUAAAACCCUAAGCGCUACCUCUCAUUCCCUUCCUCUCUCUAUGCCAAAAAUGGUAAAUUCACAGAACAUAGCAGUCGCAUGCAGCUUUAUUGUGUCCAUUAUCAUGAAAGCAUUUAAUGUUGCACUAGAUCUCGUGAUUUAAAAUCACGUGUAUGAGUCUGUGUGGCUGAGUUGUGGGUUUUGGAAGCACUUAAGGCUUUCAAAUUCAUUUUUGACCAGGGCUGCACCACAAAAAGUAGCACAGAUUAUUAUGGAGUGUAACAGAUAUCCAGCCAUGCCGAGGGUUCAUGAAACCCCUUGGAACUUGUGCAGUGUCGGGAACAAGGGUGGUGACAACCUUUCCCAUUGGUAUAUUGUGGUUUGAGGUUUUCAAGUGAAGCAAUGGUAUAUAACUAAUGUCCUUGGUUUGUGCACUUGUGAUCAAGUGGGGAAGUAUAUGGAUGUGUAUAUAUAUAUAUAUAUAUAUAUAUAUAUGGUCAUGAUAGAAUUAGGUCCAUCAAACAUAGAUUAAAAAAUGGGGAUGUAUAUGUAUACGCAUAUAUGUAAGCAUAAUUCUGAUAAUACUAGAUCCACUAAACCUAUACUAAUCCAAUUCCUUUUCUUUUUCCCUCCUACUUCACGGCCACUUGUGCCAUAGUCCAACCAGACUGUUAGGCCAAAGCCCCAACAGAAAUAUUAUUUCAAAUUGUUAAGUGUAAAAAGGGAAGCUAAUAUUACGAAGGCCCAACCAUGAAUGACAAUGGCACGAAGGCCCAACCAUGGGUAAAAAUGGCUUUAAGGGGUUUGGUACACCCCUAACUUAACUC